This is a long non-coding RNA of Pseudomyrmex gracilis, 1440 nucleotides long. RefSeq lists it as uncharacterized. Lineage: Eukaryota; Metazoa; Arthropoda; Insecta; Hymenoptera; Formicidae. The transcript is spliced from 3 exons. The record is from RefSeq and is a predicted model, not a curated record.
UCCGAGACCACUACACUAUUCUCCUCCGGGCUGCGCCUAGAUGCCACGGGAUAAGCGAGCGAGAUGACACUGUGGGACAUCGCGGACGUACCGUCAAAGGGAAAGAUAGAGAGAGAGAGAGAGAGAGAGAGAGAGAAAGAACGAGAGCCGCACCACAAAAAUCUUCCCGCGAGCCUUUCAGCCGGACGAAGAAGCCUCUCGCCGGAAGUCGGUCAACCUAAAAGACCAUGAUCAACUUGGGAAGCGAAAUGGGAAGAAAAAGGAAUACGCGAGAAAACGACUCAUCGACGACGAUCUUACACAGAAUCCGUGACGGAGCUUCUCGUGUCGGAGCAGAAAUCGGCGCAUCAUCUCAUCCGGAGUUAAGAAACUUGAGACAACAGAGAGAAAGAGAAAGAAAGAGAAAGAGAGAGAGAGAGAGAGAGAAGGUGGAGGGGGAGGGGAAGAAGGGAGAGAAGGGUGGAAGACGUGCGAUCGUUUCGCGUGAGCGAUUCUCUCGGAUGCAACUCCCGAUAUCGGCGCUGCAACGAGUCCGCAAAAACGCAUUAUGCAUCGGCUUAUGCGAGAUCUCUUCGCGCCGCUAUCAUCGGGGAAGAAGGCACGUACAGAAGGCGCGAUACAGUUCCCAGUGGAGAGAAACAGUCAUGCGCGAAGGCCUUGAGAGCAGCUGGAGGCCUCACCUUGGCAUUCUUCAGCGCGAUUAGGGUCGUUUAGAAGCUCCGGAUGCAUUAUGGAUGGGGUGCAUAUCUCUGAGUCAAUUAAAGAGCGUGCGCGCGCGCGUACACGCGUGCACGUCUCUUCCUUCCUUUUCCUGCUUUUCUCUCCCUCCUUUUUUUCUCUCUCUCUUUCUCUCUCUCUCUCUCUCUCCGCGUGCCUUCUCCUUCCCUUUAUCCGAUUCUUCUUCUAUUUUCCCCGCUCGUCAUGCUGCGUCGUAUACAUAUACCUGCGCUCAUUACGGGGCGCCCGACUGAUGAGAAGGUGCAUUGACUGCGGUUGGACGUGAUUUUACGAGCUAAGGUAACGAGAAAUCAUCUCGGCGGACGAUAUUGCGUAAAAACGAUCUGGUUAACUGCCGGCUUUGCGCGCACAGAUGUACACUCGCCGAUUGCAAUUUGUCUGUCAACUAUUAUUCGAUAGCUGCAAAACGCGCUUCUCGCUUUUUCCAACGCGUCUUCUUUACAAGCGAAGUUGUUGCUUGUUUAAGUUUUUUUUAAAAAAAAUUUAAUUCCGCGAGUUAGAACGUCGAUGGAGAAUAUUUCACGAGCUGAAAAAAAUUACGCGCGCGAGAUCCUUUUUCCAAAUGAUUGUAUAUACUUAUAUACAUUGAUGUAAUCAUCAUAUUAAUGCGUCCGUCAGUGGCACGUGUCGUGAAUGAGGGGGAUCUCGCUUGAGAGAAAGAGAAUCGCAUUCAUUUCGCAAUCGGACGGCGGCUCAACAACA